GAAAAUGCAACUGAACUAGCAGAAAAGCAGGAUGGCAGAGCUCCUCCGCCAAGCUGUUCUUUUCCAGCCUCCAGCACAGGCAGCAAACUGUCAUGGCAAACCACUGCAGAGUGUAGCAGAGCUCCUACCUUAGCUGCAGGACCUAGUUCAGAGUCCAACUGGGAACUCUCCUGCUCCCAGGAGAGGGACGAUCAACAGGAAUCAUUCAGGGCGCAGAUCUCAAAAAUCGAACAGUUCCUCAAGACAGAGAGACUCCGUCUGCCCAAAAGACAACGAACUGAACCAAAUCUGUAGAAACUGCUGGUCGUCUUUAUUCGCUGUCCUAGGUGAGACAUUGUGUGGCACACGUUUGACAGUUAUUGUUAGCGCAGGUCUAAAUGUUCUGAAACAUAAUUGCUUUUUAAUAUAUACAUGUGUUACUGAUUCCUUUGAACUGUAUAGUUUCUUCUAACAUUGCUGUUUGAAGUUUAAAGUUUUUUGGGUCAAAUCAUUAAUUCUUCACUUUAUUGUUAUUUUAACAUUUCUGUGCUUUAAAUGGAAAACUGCAGAGUUUGUGUGUUUGUUUCACACGUGUGUAUUUUUAUGUUUUUAAGUGAAGAGAUGAAAAUAAGAUAAGAUAGCCUUUCUAAGUGACAAAUAUACAAUACUACUACUGCUACGUUGGUAAGAUUUUAUUUUAUCACACAGUUGCAUGUGAUUUAAGUAAUUUUAAAAAGGCUCUGAUGUCACCAGUGUAAAAAUCCAACAUUUCCAA
Molecule: long non-coding RNA, 754 nt
Organism: Astatotilapia calliptera (eastern happy)
Lineage: Eukaryota; Metazoa; Chordata; Actinopteri; Cichliformes; Cichlidae
Source: Ensembl